UGCCAGCASNCCGCGGUAAUACGGAGGGUGCAAGCGUUAAUCGGAAUUACUGGGCGUAAAGCGUACCGUAGGUGGUUUGUUAAGCCAGCUGUGAAAUCCCCGGGCUCAACCUGGGCACUGCAGUUGGAACUGUCAAGCUAGAGUAGGGUAGAGGGGUGUGGAAUUCCAGGUGUAGCGGUGAAAUGCGUAGAUAUCUGGAGGAACAUCAGUGGCGAAGGCGACACCCUGGACUCAUACUGACACUGAGGUACGAAAGCGUGGGGAGCAAACAGGAUUAGAUACCCUGGUAGUCC
This 293-nucleotide ribosomal RNA is filed under the name uncultured bacterium. RNAcentral's name for it is "partial 16S ribosomal RNA". It matches the Rfam family "Bacterial small subunit ribosomal RNA", at positions 506 to 796 of the family's 1533-position model. The record is from RNAcentral.